RNAcentral lists this ribosomal RNA (124 nucleotides) under uncultured bacterium. RNAcentral describes it as "partial 16S ribosomal RNA". It matches the Rfam family "Bacterial small subunit ribosomal RNA", at positions 212 to 334 of the family's 1533-position model. The record is from RNAcentral.
CGGGUGCUUGAAGAUGGGUGUGCGUUCCAUUAGCUAGUUGGUAAGGUAACGGCUUACCAAGGCGACGAUGGAUAGGGGGCGUGAGAGCGUGAUCCCCCCACACGGGUACUGAGACACGGACCCG